AUUGUUUACGUAUCUACAUAAAUUCAAUUACCUUUUGAACUAGAAAGUGUUAUAUUUUCAAAUAACCAUUUACCUCUGUUCAGUGUCGGUCAAAUUCGAUGUUUUGAAUCACUCUAGCGCGUGCUAAAUACUAAAUGACGCAAUGUUUUGGACUGGUCUUCAUUUUCUUCGAUACAGGCACAACCGAGCGUAAAUAUUAAGCGAGAAAGUCUAGUGGAACGAUGCAGGGUUCAUUGGGUUUGUUUACAAAAAUUCAAGCAUCCGGUUAAGAAGACGACAAAUAAGAAUGGUAUUAAGUUGGUAGAAUGGAACUCCUUCCUGAUUCCUGCACAUGUAAGUUACCAGAUACUUUUGAGGGACCAAUUUAAGGGCAAACAGACAAACGUUUUGAUGCAAAGAAAGCAUUGGAUUUGAAAGUUCCCAUGGAGAAGAAAAAUGGAGAGAUUCUAAAAGUAUGAAGAUACUCCUGUGUAUAAUGAGGAAAUCUUGUCAGUGAAUGUUGUUGCAAUUGUGGACCAGGCCAGAGUUGUACUAAACCAACUAAGACACAAUGAGAUACAGGAAUGACACAAUGAGAAACAGGAAACAGGAAAGUGAUGAAUGAUCGCCACCUGUUACAAAUUCAUCUAGAAAACUCCCCACAUCCAACAAGAGACAGUCUGACUUCAAAAUCUUCAUUGAAGGCAACUUAAUGGACAAGACAUCCAUCACAUAAAGAUUCACUAAAAUUGGAAUGAUAUACCAAUUUUAACUUUUAACAGACAAAUACAUUAUAGAUUUGAAAAUAGAUUACCCUUAAAUAAGUUGGAUGAUUAACAUUUACCUCAACACAGU
Long non-coding RNA from Mya arenaria, 834 nucleotides. RefSeq lists it as uncharacterized. NCBI's taxonomy places the organism in Eukaryota, Metazoa, Mollusca, Bivalvia, Myida, Myidae. The transcript is spliced from 5 exons. The record is from RefSeq and is a predicted model, not a curated record.